CUCGUAGGCGGUUUGUCGCGUCGGAUGUGAAAACUCGGAGCUUAACUCCGGGCCUGCAUUCGAUACGGGCAGACUAGAGUUCGGUAGGGGAGACUGGAACUCCUGGUGUAGCGGUGGAAUGCGCAGAUAUCAGGAAGGACACCGAUGGCGAAGGCAGGUCUCUGGGCCGAUACUGACGCUGAGGAGCGAAAGCGUGGGGAGCGAACA
Molecule: ribosomal RNA, 207 nt
Filed under: uncultured bacterium
Lineage: Bacteria
Description: partial 16S ribosomal RNA
Rfam family: Bacterial small subunit ribosomal RNA
Source: RNAcentral